CCUACGGGAGGCAGCAGUGAGGAAUAUUGGUCAAUGGACGAGAGUCUGAACCAGCCAAGUAGCGUGAAGGAUGACUGCCCUAUGGGUUGUAAACUUCUUUUAUAUGGGAAUAAAAUGUUCCACGUGUGGGAUUUUGUAUGUACCAUAUGAAUAAGGAUCGGCUAACUCCGUGCCAGCAGCCGCGGUAAUACGGAGGAUCCGAGGUGUAGCCGGAUUUAUUGGGUUUAAAGGGAGCGUAGGUGGAUUGUUAAGUAAGUUGGGAAAGUUUGCGGCUCAACCCCGUCCGGCCGUUGAAACUGGGGGCCUUGAGGGGGCGAGAAGAAGGCGGAAUGCGUGGUGUAGCGGUGAAAUGCAUAGAUAUCACGCAGAACCCCCAUUGCGAAGGCAGCCUUCCGGCGCCCUACUGACGCUGAGGCACGAAAGUGCGGGGAUCGAACAGGAUUAGAUACCCGGGUAGUC
Molecule: ribosomal RNA, 459 nt
Filed under: uncultured bacterium
Lineage: Bacteria
Description: partial 16S ribosomal RNA
Rfam family: Bacterial small subunit ribosomal RNA
Source: RNAcentral